This 722-nucleotide ribosomal RNA is filed under the name uncultured organism. Its description in RNAcentral is "SSU rRNA". It matches the Rfam family "Bacterial small subunit ribosomal RNA", at positions 37 to 748 of the family's 1533-position model. The record is from RNAcentral.
UAGCUACAGGCUUAACACAUGCAAGUCGAGGGUUCAUCAGGAAGAAAGCUUGCUUUCUUUGCUGGCGACCGGCGCACGGGUGAGUAACACGUAUCCAACCUGCCCUUUACUCGGGGAUAGCCUUUCGAAAGAAAGAUUAAUACCCGAUAGCAUAAUGAUUCCGCAUGGUUUCAUUAUUAAAGGAUUCCGGUAAAGGAUGGGGAUGCGUUCCAUUAGGUUGUUGGUGGGGUAACGGCCCACCAAGCCUUCGAUGGAUAGGGGUUCUGAGAGGAAGGUCCCCCACAUUGGAACUGAGACACGGUCCAAACUCCUACGGGAGGCAGCAGUGAGGAAUAUUGGUCAAUGGGCGCUAGCCUGAACCAGCCAAGUAGCGUGAAGGAUGAAGGCUCUAUGGGUCGUAAACUUCUUUUAUAUAAGAAUAAAGUGCAGUAUGUAUACUGUUUUGUAUGUAUUAUAUGAAUAAGGAUCGGCUAACUCCGUGCCAGCAGCCGCGGUAAUACGGAGGAUCCGAGCGUUAUCCGGAUUUAUUGGGUUUAAAGGGAGCGUAGGUGGACUGGUAAGUCAGUUGUGAAAGUUUGCGGCUCAACCGUAAAAUUGCAGUUGAUACUGUCAGUCUUGAGUACAGAAGAGGUGGGCGGAAUUCGUGGUGUAGCGGUGAAAUGCUUAGAUAUCACGAAGAACUCCGAUUGCGAAGGCAGCUCACUGGACUGCAACUGACACUG